GCGUUAAAACACGGCUUCACGUACGAUCGCUGAUGCUAAGCAACAUCGAGCAUGGUCAGUAUCUCGAUGGAUGACCGCUUGGGAAUACCCGGUGCUGUUA
Molecule: non-coding RNA, 100 nt
Organism: Acanthosepion pharaonis
Lineage: Eukaryota; Metazoa; Mollusca; Cephalopoda; Sepiida; Sepiidae
Source: the annotation of a GenBank genome assembly